Molecule: ribosomal RNA, 369 nt
Filed under: uncultured bacterium
Lineage: Bacteria
Description: bacterial SSU rRNA
Rfam family: Bacterial small subunit ribosomal RNA
Source: RNAcentral
ACGGAGGGUGCGAGCGUUAUCCGGAUUCACUGGGUUUAAAGGGUGCGUAGGCGGGUUAGUAAGUCAGUGGUGAAAUCCCCGAGCUUAACUUGGGAACUGCCGUUGAUACUAUUAGUCUUGAAUAUCGUGGAGGUAAGCGGAAUAUGUCAUGUAGCGGUGAAAUGCUUAGAUAUGACAUAGAACACCAAUUGCGAAGGCAGCUUGCUACACGAUUAUUGACGCUGAGGCACGAAAGCGUGGGGAUCAAACAGGAUUAGAUACCCUGGUAGUCCACGCCCUAAACGAUGAUUACUCGACAUCAGCGAUACACUGUUGGUGUCUAAGCUAACGCAUUAAGUAAUCCACCUGGGAAGUACGAUCGCAAGAUUG